GGAAAUAUGAAGUUUGGUAAAAUGAUUUAUUACCAACUUCGUUCUACACGAUUUCCUAUCAGUUGGUGAAAACUCACAAGUCAGUAGUUGAAUUAUUUUCCUAUCUAUCCAUUCUUCCAGAAUUGAAUUCUGUUGCUAAAUUUAGAACCAUUAUCUGAAUAGCAUUUGCCUUAUUAGGAAUCUAUUUUGGUGUCAAUGCCAGCUGGCUGAAUAAUUAAGAUUUGGUGCAG
RNAcentral lists this unclassified non-coding RNA (230 nucleotides) under Hevea brasiliensis (rubber tree). The record is from RNAcentral. Lineage: Eukaryota; Viridiplantae; Streptophyta; Magnoliopsida; Malpighiales; Euphorbiaceae.